Long non-coding RNA from Maniola jurtina (meadow brown), 130 nucleotides. RefSeq lists it as uncharacterized. NCBI's taxonomy places the organism in Eukaryota, Metazoa, Arthropoda, Insecta, Lepidoptera, Nymphalidae. The record is from RefSeq and is a predicted model, not a curated record. The transcript has 3 exons.
AUGUAUAGCGUGCAAAACUCGGGGCAUUGCCCCGCCUACAACUCGGCAUUGACCCUGCGGCACCUAUUUACGCAACGUUCGUUGACCUAGCGUCAGUCAGAUGUUUUAUUUUGCAAUAGUUACAUUGUAA